Molecule: small RNA, 134 nt
Filed under: Salmonella enterica subsp. enterica
Lineage: Bacteria; Pseudomonadati; Pseudomonadota; Gammaproteobacteria; Enterobacterales; Enterobacteriaceae
Also listed under: 1 other name
Description: RtT sRNA
Rfam family: RtT RNA
About the family: This family represents a bacterial cis-regulatory element known as RtT RNA. The exact function of RtT is unknown although it is thought that it may be involved in changing the cellular response in relation to amino acid starvation.
Source: RNAcentral
UGUAUCUGAAGCCUGACGAGGAUGAGAACCUCCGGGGGCAAGAGGUUCGACCCGAGCGAAGCGAGAGAACGUUGCGCCAGCAACGGCCCGCAGGGCGAGCCACGCAGUGGCGAGUCAUCCUCUAUCACCGGCAG